GACGAACGCUGGCGGCGUGCUUAACACAUGCAAGUCGAACGGACAGGCCCUGCUUUUGUGGGGUGCUCGAGUGGCGAACGGGUGAGUAACACGUGAGUAACCUGCCCUUGACUUUGGGAUAACUUCAGGAAACUGGGGCUAAUACCGGAUAGGAGCUCCUGCUGCAUGGGGGGGGUUGGAAAGUUUCGGCGGUUGGGGAUGGACUCGCGGCUUAUCAGCUUGUUGGUGGGGUAGUGGCUUACCAAGGCUUUGACGGGUAGCCGGCCUGAGAGGGUGACCGGCCACAUUGGGACUGAGAUACGGCCCAGACUCCUACGGGAGGCAGCAGUGGGGAAUAUUGCACAAUGGGCGGAAGCCUGAUGCAGCAACGCCGCGUGCGGGAUGACGUCCUUCGGGUUGUAAACCGCUUUCGCCUGUGACGAAGCGUGAGUGACGGUAAUGGGUAAAGAAGCACCGGCUAACUACGUG
RNAcentral lists this ribosomal RNA (468 nucleotides) under uncultured bacterium. RNAcentral's name for it is "partial 16S ribosomal RNA". It matches the Rfam family "Bacterial small subunit ribosomal RNA", at positions 28 to 507 of the family's 1533-position model. The record is from RNAcentral.